This 468-nucleotide ribosomal RNA is filed under the name uncultured bacterium. RNAcentral describes it as "partial 16S ribosomal RNA". It matches the Rfam family "Bacterial small subunit ribosomal RNA", at positions 28 to 507 of the family's 1533-position model. The record is from RNAcentral.
GACGAACGCUGGCGGCGUGCUUAACACAUGCGAGUCGAACGGAAAGGCCCUGCUUUUGUGGGGUGCUCGAGUGGCGAACGGGUGAGUAACACGUGAGUAACCUGCCCUUGACUUUGGGAUAACUUCAGGAAACUGGGGCUAAUACCGGAUAGGAGCUCCUGCUGCAUGGUGGGGGUUGGAAAGUUUCGGCGGUUGGGGAUGGACUCGCGGCUUAUCAGCUUGUUGGUGGGGUAGUGGCUUACCAAGGCUUUGACGGGUAGCCGGCCUGAGAGGGUGACCGGCCACAUUGGGACUGAUGUACGGCCCAGACUCCUACGGGAGGCAGCAGUGGGGAAUAUUGCACAAUGGGCGGAAGCCUGAUGCAGCAACGCCGCGUGCGGGAUGACGGCCUUCGGGUUGUAAACCGCUUUCGCCUGUGACGAAGCGUGAGUGACGGUAAUGGGUAAAGAAGCACCGGCUAACUACGUG